UACGAAGGACCCAAGCGUUAUCCGGAUUUAUUGGGUUUAAAGGGUGCGUAGGCGGGUUAUUAAGUCAGUGGUGAAAGCUCUCGGCUCAACCGGGAAAUUGCCAUUGAUACUGAUGAUCUUGAGUAUGAUUGAGGUGGGCGGAAUGUGUCAUGUAGCGGUGAAAUGCUUAGAUAUGACACAGAACACCGAUUGCGAAGGCAGCUCACUAAGCCAUAACUGACGCUGAUGCACGAAAGCGUGGGGAGCAAACAGG
Molecule: ribosomal RNA, 253 nt
Filed under: uncultured bacterium
Lineage: Bacteria
Description: partial 16S ribosomal RNA
Rfam family: Bacterial small subunit ribosomal RNA
Source: RNAcentral